CCCCAGAGUCUUGAGUUCAGUUCGGGGCACCUUCCCUGUUCUGUUAAUUAAGCUUUGGGACAUUGACACUGGCUGAGGAAAAAAAAAAGAUUGAAUAGAGAGUAUUACUCUAUUCAUAUACUUCCUAGCCUACACCC
This is a small nucleolar RNA of Mus spicilegus (steppe mouse), 137 nucleotides long. NCBI's taxonomy places the organism in Eukaryota, Metazoa, Chordata, Mammalia, Rodentia, Muridae. The record is from Ensembl.